Oreochromis aureus is the source of this 1388-nucleotide long non-coding RNA. RefSeq lists it as uncharacterized. The record is from RefSeq and is a predicted model, not a curated record. The transcript has 2 exons. Lineage: Eukaryota; Metazoa; Chordata; Actinopteri; Cichliformes; Cichlidae.
CAAUAGGUGCAUGUUUCUGGGGGAUUCCCAUGAUGCAGAUCCAGUGAAAGUAGUUCUGGCAUGUGACAAGGAUUCCACCUGGGCGUCUCCCAGGUGAGGUGUACUGGCUGUGUCCAACCAGCGGGAGGCCCUGGAUCAGACCCAGGACCUGAUGGAGUUCCCCUGGAUAAGCUGGAGGAGGUGGCUGUGGAGAGGGAGGUCUGGAGUUCUCUGCUUAGGCUGCUUCUCCCACAACCUGGCCACAGAUAAAUGAAAUAAGUAGACUAAAUAUAGCUUUUUAUUCUAAAGAAUGUGGUUGUUUCCUUGCAGGACACCAGGAGAGAUGAGCAUAUCCAGCCCACAUCUGCAGCAACUGUACUUAAGGGAAGUUGGGACAAUGUUAAAGACUUUCUCCACGCAACUGCACUUGGAUUAGCUAAAUUCAUGACAGGCAUUCAAGCAGUAAUGUCUGGACUGACAACCAAACAUACCAAGCUUCUGUGGUUGAGCCAGAGACUGCACUUGUGGAUGAACAAUACAAACAUAUUAUAUUUAUUAUAUCAGUAAUGUAACUUGCAACAAAAAGUUAUGGGAAGCUUAAACUUAGUUUCAGAAUAAUUAAAUCUGAGACUGGUACAGUUAGCAAAGUGUGAUCCACUGAACAAAGUGAGGAAGCUGAUCCACUUUGACAUGUCUGUUGUGAAAAGACUUUAUUGGAUUCCUACAUCCAGGUAGGUCUGGAUAGCUGCUUGUCCCUUAAAAAUAAUUCUUCAUUUAAAACCUGCAUUUUGUAUACACUCAGAUCUUGGUCUAUUAUUAAAAGUGUGAUAUUUAACAACAACAAAUAUAUAUUAAUAUUAUAUUUAUAUUUUAUAAUUUUUUUAAGUCUACGUAAAUAUCACAUCAUCAUCAACCCGUCCCUUCAUCUGGUUUUGUUGACUGUGGAGAACAGUGCACAUGGAGACUCUCCUGUUUCCUGACUUCUGUCUCUGAAAACAGAGAAGAAGAUUUCAUGAUUUGGAGGAUAUAGCAUCAACUGAAAUCAUUUCCAUUAAUGGUGAAAAAGAACAGUAAAAGCAGUGAGUUUGUUUCUUAGACAUGAGAGGACAGUCUCUCUCACCUCUUGGCUGCACUGCCUCUGUUAAAUCUAACAGCAGUGUACUCAGUAACUUCCUGUUCCUGCAUUUGUCUGUGAGGCUGAGCUGCUCUGAUGUUGGAGUAGAGAGGAUCUGCCUGGUUAUUGGAGAAGUGGAUGCUGGUGUACUGAAGAUCAUCCUGCUCCUCUGGCUGUCUCUGGUCAGGUAAACACUGUAUAGGAAAAGAGAUCUCAGCUACAAAUGUGAUCAAAUGUAUUUGAGUUAAAGAACAACAGCAAAGAAGGAUUUGGGAGUCCACCAGGAAGUUUAAAA